GGCGAGUGGCGAACGGGUGAGUAAUGUAUCGGAACGUGCCCAGUAGCGGGGGACAACCACUCGAAAGAGUGGCUAAUACCGCAUACGCCCUACGGGGGAAAGGGGGGGAUCGCAAGACCUCUCACUAUUGGAGCGGCCGAUAUCGGAUUAGCUAGUUGGUGGGGUAAAGGCCUACCAAGGCGACGAUCCGUAGCUGGUUUGAGAGGACGACCAGCCACACUGGGACUGAGACACGGCCCAGACUCCUACGGGAGGCAGCAGUGGGGAAUUUUGGACAAUGGGGGAAACCCUGAUCCAGCCAUUCCGCGUGUGCGAUGAAGGCCUUCGGGUUGUAAAGCACUUUUGGCAGGAAAGAAAUCGCAUGGAUUAAUACUCUGUGCGGAUGACGGUACCUGCAGAAUAAGCACCGGCUAACUACGUGCCAGCAGCCGCGGUAAUACGUAGGGUGCAAGCGUUAAUCGGAAUUACUGGGCGUAAAGCGUGCGCAGGCGGUUCGGAAAGAAGGAUGUGAAAUCCCAGGGCUUAACCUUGGAACUGCAUUCUUAACUACCGGGCUAGAGUGUGUCAGAGGGAGGUGGAAUUCCGCGUGUAGCAGUG
RNAcentral lists this ribosomal RNA (597 nucleotides) under uncultured beta proteobacterium. RNAcentral describes it as "bacterial SSU rRNA". It matches the Rfam family "Bacterial small subunit ribosomal RNA", at positions 90 to 683 of the family's 1533-position model. The record is from RNAcentral. Lineage: Bacteria; Pseudomonadati; Pseudomonadota; Betaproteobacteria.